CCUACGGGCGGCAGCAGUGGGGAAUAUUGCACAAUGGGCGCGAGCCUGAUGCAGCCAUGCCGCGUGUGUGAAGAAGGCCUUCGGGUUGUAAAGCACUUUCAGCGGGGAGGAAGGCGGUGAGGUUAAUAACCUCAUCGAUUGACGUUACCCGCAGAAGAAGCACCGGCUAACUCCGUGCCAGCAGCCGCGGUAAUACGGAGGGUGCAAGCGUUAAUCGGAAUUACUGGGCGUAAAGCGCACGCAGGCGGGCUGUCAAGUCGGAUGUGAAAGCCCCGGGCUCAACCUGGGAACUGCAUUCGAAACUGGCAGGCUAGAGUCUUGUAGAGGGGGGUAGAAUUCCAGGUGUAGCGGUGAAAUGCGUAGAGAUCUGGAGGAAUACCGGUGGCGAAGGCGGCCCCCUGGACAAAGACUGACGCUCAGGUGCGAAAGCGUGGGGAGCAAACAGGAUUAGAUACCCGAGUAGUC
Molecule: ribosomal RNA, 465 nt
Filed under: uncultured Klebsiella sp.
Lineage: Bacteria; Pseudomonadati; Pseudomonadota; Gammaproteobacteria; Enterobacterales; Enterobacteriaceae
Description: bacterial SSU rRNA
Rfam family: Bacterial small subunit ribosomal RNA
Source: RNAcentral